CCACAUGUAAACGAGGUAGAACUUCUAUUCUUAACUGACUUCUGUAAUCUGUACCAUUUCCUAAAACCCCUUAUCUCCAUAGGAACUCCCUGAAACAAAAAUAUUUCCACCAAUGGCAGAACGCAGUACUCCUGUGCCUUCCUCUUGAAGCCUGAAAAGUGCUUUUUCUUCACAUUGGGAGGGGGAAGGGACCUUCCUGACAUUGGCCUAUAUUACUCAGGAUGUAGCUCAAGAUCCAGAAGAUGGGCCUCCUGGUAAGAUUCACAUAGCAAUCAUAGAAAAUCGGGCUCAGCACUUGGUGUAGAAUCAGGAAAAUUACAAGAUGAAUGGACCGUUGUGAAUAUGAAACAUAGCCUGUUCUUUAAAGUGAAAAGGAAGGAAAGAAAGACCCUGGCAAUUAUCGCCCUGUAAACAUCAGUUCCAGCUGUAAUAAGUGUGUGUGUGUGUUGUGUGUGUGUGUGUGUGUGUGUGUGUGUGCGCGCGCGCGCACACACAUGCGUGUGGUUAAGUAGCAGGAAAGUGAUGAUAUCAGGAACAAUAAGUGGCUUAGGCUUCAAAGAAACAAAUCAUGCCAGCACAAUAGCUUUUUUUUUUUGACAGAGUUAUGAAUAGAUGGUGGGGAAAUGCAAGAGAUGUAAUAUAUCUUAUGUUAGUAAAGAUUUGAUAUGUCUCAGGAAAUUUUAUUUGCAAAAUUAGCUACAAGAUCACAAAGAAAGGUUAUUGAUAAAUUGCAAAGUAUCUGGUGGUAGGAAGGUGCAGAGAUGGCCGCCUGGGAUGGCCUUAUUUAACAGUUUCAUCAUUAAUUUGGAAGAGGGAGUGAAUCUUUCUCUGUGUUCAUAAAAAUUGCAGGUUAUACGAAAUCAGGACAUGGUGUGAACACUGAUCAGCCAGGGACUGACACAAAGUGGUCCCCAAAGAAGGAAGAUUGGACAGAAACAAGAGGCAACUGAGAAGAGCCACAUUUUUAGUGAAAUUCCACCUUGAUAAACCCUCUGGAAGAAAUAGUUUUUUACAAAGAACUUGGACUUGUUUGGGUAUCCCCCAGGCUUCCACACACCCCAGGAGACACGGGAAGCUGACCACCCCCCCCCCCCCACACACACACACUCCACAGUUCCCAGGAGUGAGCCUGAUUUAAUAAGGAUCAUCUUGUUCCUGCAGAGGAGAGGUAUCCGGUGGUGUUCCUGAGACCUUGCUUCACCACCAACAGGCCACUGAGAACGGCUGGGGACUGUGGCUCCAGGGCUGAGCACCAGGCCCGCUCCACCAUGGGAUCCUGGCAGAUGGAAUUGGGUCCAGUUGUGUGUAUGGGUCAUUGGAUGUAGAUUUACCUCACAUCUCAGGCCCAAACAGCUUUUAUAAAGAAUAAAAGCUUCUCUAAAGAAUGUGUAGGAUUAGGA
RNAcentral lists this long non-coding RNA (1400 nucleotides) under Felis catus (domestic cat). Its description in RNAcentral is "lncRNA (ENSFCAG00000040488.2)". Lineage: Eukaryota; Metazoa; Chordata; Mammalia; Carnivora; Felidae. The record is from RNAcentral.